UGCCUUCAGGGGCUAAAAGAUGGCAAUGUGAUGACGUUGUGACUGAUGGAAAAAUAACAAUACAUUGCUGCUUAGUAUUACUGUCUCAACCUAUGAAUAUGGUCAUUACAGUCUCAACCAAAGUAGCGAGCUUCUUUUCUCUUGAAUCAACAGUUACAUCGGGCUGCUUACAUUUGCAGGACAUUGAGAAGUAAGAAAAUUUUAGAUUUGACAAAUGUUGACUGAAGAAAUGGCUAGGAUGUAUACAGUGUGUUUGGCGAAUUUGAAUUGGGGCGAACUCAGAUUUAGGGUCAGGUUGUGGUUUACUCUUUGUACAGUUUACACUAUAAAAUUUGUUUCAUUUUAUAUUCUUGUACCAUUUGAUUUGGCAAGUUAACUGGUUCCAAUCCUUGUUCAGAUAGUAACAAAGUAGAAGAUUAUUUUUGUUUUCUUUCUAUUCUAGAAGGGGAAUAGUUUAAUUGAGUGAUAAUUUUGAUGCCAAUUUUUGUAAUAAGUGCCAGGUGAUUUAUGGUUCUUUUGGAUAGACAUGGUUAAACCACUUUUGAGUAUUAGAUUCUGAAUGUACAAUUAUGACUGAAGUGAUAGAAGAUAGUAAUGGGAAACAGUGGUGUAUUAUAAAGCAAAUGAACUUCAUUUGACAGUAGUUUGCUAAGAUUUCUGCAAUUAUUCUCUGUACAUUCUGGACCGGAAUAAAUUUCCUGCUCCCAAUCUAACUGGAAUAUAUUUCAUGCUCCCAAUCUAUUUCCAUGAUACUUCGGUUAGACUCUCCGUUUAUUAUUCAUUUCUGGUUAUCGUGUAACUUGAUAGAACAUAUAUGCGCAUUUCGUGGCACUGUAAUAGAACCAUCAAUAUGCUAUGGUAAUAGUGUGUGCACAGAAAAAUAACCAAUUUAGCAUCCUCAUUUUCUCACUCAAGGAAAUACUAAAGAGAAUAAAAAACCUAUUUCUAUCAUUCCAGUUGAAUAUGACCCAAGAUGAAUGCUCUCGACUUGGGCCAAAAGGAUUUAAUCCAUAACAACAUUAAGCUACAACUUAAUAAGUAACAAAAGGAUUUAAUCCAUAACAUUAAGCUACAACUUAAUAAGCAACUAGAACAAGUGUUCCAUACAAGCAGCUUUAUAAAGACAGCAUAAGAAUGUCUACAAAUUUAAGAACUCUCCAUGCUUGAUGCUUUGGCCUCUUGCUUCUCUUCUUCACUCACUGUUGUAAUAUUUUCAGCAGGUGACUCCAUGGGAGAAUCAUUAUCCUUUUUCAGUUCUGAUUCAAAUUCUUUUGCUGCCUGCAAUCGGAAAAUGUCAAUUCAGCGCGUGCUUAAUUCUGUUUUUAGUAUGUGAUGCCCAUACAAUAAAUGAAGAAAGGAAAGGAGAAGCCAAAAUAGUAUUUUGUUUCCUAUAUUCUCUCUAAAAUAGCAUAUAGAGAAGAGGCGAGAAUCUUGACACACUUUUGGAGAUGUUGAAGGUACAAAUUGCUAAGGUUUUAUGAGUAGUUAUGAUUUAGGAAGCCCUUGAGCAAACAUGGAAACUGUAUAAUGUGGGAGGCAUGCACCAAUCAAUUAACCGUGAUGUGCAGUGUGUUCAAAUUUAAUGCAACAAACAGAAGCGCAAGGCAAAAAAAAAAAAAUGCUCGAGUUAUAUCCUAUCUAUCAUCUCUUUGUGAUCUCUCAUCCACUAUAAUGUAUCCCUUGGUCAAUGAUCAUUUUUUUCUCCUGAAAAAUUGUAAAGAACAUGAUGAUGUUAUAUAGGCCCAAUGGAUAAUUUUAAGAGGUAGCAUAGGAGGAUACGAAGACAAAUAUAAAUGUGUAAAAUUGCUAGUUGACAUGUAUCCAUAUCUAUGGUUCAAUUUGAACAGUGC
Molecule: long non-coding RNA, 1850 nt
Filed under: Olea europaea subsp. europaea
Lineage: Eukaryota; Viridiplantae; Streptophyta; Magnoliopsida; Lamiales; Oleaceae
Source: RNAcentral